Molecule: long non-coding RNA, 2973 nt
Organism: Myotis myotis
Lineage: Eukaryota; Metazoa; Chordata; Mammalia; Chiroptera; Vespertilionidae
Exons: 3
Source: RefSeq, a predicted model, not a curated record
AUAAUUCCCAUUUUAAAGAUGAAGAAAAUAGAGGCCCAGGAAGGAUGGGGUGGGAAAGGGCUGAAGUUCAAGGUUGCGGGGGGCAGGAAGGCCAGGUCAGUCCAGCCCCAGCUCCUCUGUGUGCUGGGGAGAGGCGGGGGCUGGGUGGUUUUCACUCCCGGGAAGAGGCAGCAUCUGAGAGCCCAGGAAAUCCCCAAGGCCCUACUGACCGGGCCAAACGCAAAGGACUUCUCACACCUGAACUUGUGACGGUGAUGAAGGAUGUAGCUAUAGACUCUCCCAUCCGUUUCUUCCAUUCAGGGCAGGCACCUCGCCCAGGACAGAACAUCUCCGCCACUCCUCACAGGAAGCCGGGGCAGGUGCCCAGGUGGUCUCGCCCAGAGUCCGUCGCUCAAAGUGACUGCAGAGAAGCUUGCUGCCAGGGCUUUAUGUUUCCCUGCAGACCCUUCUCCACAUCAGGACCCCAGCGCCCGGCGCAGUGUGUUCUUUCAAGGUUUGUUGGUUGAAUAAACUAAUUCUUGUUUGUUUGGUUUUUGUUUUAAAAAUACAACAGAACCAAAAAAGGAACUACUGACGGAAUAACGGGGCGUGGGAUGAGAAGCUCGUUUCCCCGAAAACGCUGCGUGGGAGUGGAACCCGCUUGGGACACCUGCGCACCCUCUCUCACCAGCAGGGCCACUUCCGCCAGCUUUACACAGACGCUUUCCUUCCACCUAGAUGUGUGUCCCGGAUUUCGUUUGGUUGAUCGAUGAAGGAGACAAGUGACCCCAUGGUGAGAUUAUUGAAUGGCACUAGAAUGGACAUUUCAAAGGAUAACCUUGAAAAAUAAAGGAGCAAUGAAGUUCUCCCCUCACUCAGUGGCCAGUCCGCACGCCGUUCAGGGGUGUGGUCAACUUCAUCGAAAGGAAUCGUCCUCAUGAAAAAAGAGACACAAUGUGAGACACAAUGGACACGUCACAGGGACGUGGAACACGUGGCCACUGGUAUAGACUGCAAACAACGGAGGUCCAGACAGUGAGUCGGUUGGGCCGGGUGUUACCCAGACACGAGCCAGUAUCCCUUCACCGUUAUCAAUAGUGGGUGCAGCAGCCGGACCUCAAGACGUUUGCCUACACGGCAGGCAGGUCCUGCUCACAGGCAGAAACUUCACAGAGCAAGUGGCCUGGAAACGUUUGCAUCUUGAAGGCCUCAGCUGUUGGGCCACGUGUUUAACAGCAUCGGCCCCGGAAGGUUCCACUUUCUUGCGUCGUGAUGUCAGAUGGGCCUUAACAUGAGCCUUGGACAGUGCCUCUGUGGGCAGUGCCCGCCACGCCUCUGCUGUCGCACAUCCACUUGCAGUGGCUGUCACCGGCUGUCGGCCCAGGCAGGCAGCACAUGCAGGCCCGUUCAGAAAGGCUGCCGAGGGAGAAGCGGGUUGAGUUUGCACCCAGGCCUCACGAACUCUCAGUCCUGCUGGGCUGGCCUGGUGCGACCCCGUGUGCACCUUUCUGUCCCAGGGGGGCCCCGUGCAGCCUGGAGCCCUGGAGACUGCCGCGAGCUUCCGUGGUGACAGGACAGAGGGGAUCAGACUGUAUUCCCUGCUCCCCAGGCUGAUGGUUGCUCAAACCACACAGCCCCUGGCUUUCUGCGUCUUUGUGAAAAAUGGUGAAAUUUUGCCGGCAAACAGGUUUUUCUGGCUGAUUCCCCGUAAGAUGGAUGUUUUCCUUGACUGAGGGAAGCCAGGGUCCUUCAGGAAUGUUUGCAGGAGGAGCCGUGGGAUUUGGGUGUAGACCUGUUUCUGAGGGCCACUGCGCUUAAUUGGUCAAACAGGCCUGGAAAACCAGCGCAUCCUCCAGAUGUACCACUUGGAAAUUCAUGGCCAGGCCAGACAGGCACGCUUCGGGCUCACCUAUUCCGGUGAAUAAAAUCAGCCAGACAACCUCUCCGGCCUCAGCAUCCACCGAGCUUUCUGGGGCUGGAGCUUUCUGCGUGCUCUCCUAGGGCCCCUGGAUCAAGUCCUCUGCAAACGUUAAAGUGCAGAAUGCUUGCAAGCUGUCAUCCGGAUGACGGCAAUGAGGGAAGUACGUCUUGGGAAUGAAAUUAAUUGAUGUUUGUAAAACAUGCAACCGUCUUCCUGCUCUCCCGACUGGGAACGCGUGAGCCCUUGGGAGCCUGGGAGACGGGGCCACAGAACCGCGGUGCACAUACGCUGCCCUUCAGAUGUGCGGCGAGAUACAGCCUGUUGUGAGGAGGGCAGCUGUAGCUGUGGACACUUGGAGGAAAUGAAUGUCAGGCCUGGAGGAAUGCUUCCCAGGGGAGGGGUCCCGUAGAUGAGUUGAAUUCACCAGGUCGGAGGGGAGGAGGGUAUUCAAGACAGAGGAAACGGCACACAGAAAGAUGGAUGAGGGCAUCAAAGUGUGGACAGGAUGGCAAGUUGUUUGAGGGCACAGACCAGGGAGGGCGAGGGCGUGAGUGCCUGGCUGGUUGGCAAGUAACCAGGGUCCAUAUCAAUGGAGCACUUGCCCUGUGCUGGGUUAAACGUUUGAUGUGUAUCUAAGUCUAACCCUAGCCCCCCGCUUCACCCCCAAAGAACUUGGUCCUGUGGACUCCCCAUUUGGCAGAGAGGUUGAAUACCUCAUCCAAGGUCAUAGGGCGGGGAAGUGACAGGGUCAGGAUUCCGAGCCAUCAGCCUGGCACAGACCACGUGCCUUCGCCAUUGGACAGGCCUGCCAGCACCUCUGGGAGGCUGGGCUGAGCCGUCAGCACGUGGCUCUCGAGUGAAGGCAAAUCAAGUCCUGGGAGGUUUUGCACAGGGAGCACCGCGGGCCGCUGUGGAACUCCGGAGAGCUGGGUUCGGGCUUCGGCUAAAUGGAAACAAAAGGGAGAGGUUUGGGGAGGGGGCAGGUGAUGAGCCAGCAGAGUUAGAGGUCAACUUAAGCAGCCACAGCUCCAUGGAGACGUUCUCAAAAGCAGGAGGGAAGAGAUUGGCAGCCC